Jaculus jaculus (lesser Egyptian jerboa) is the source of this 133-nucleotide small nucleolar RNA. NCBI's taxonomy places the organism in Eukaryota, Metazoa, Chordata, Mammalia, Rodentia, Dipodidae. The record is from Ensembl.
AGGCAUAUCCGUAGACCUUGCCUGGCUGCGUGUAGCCUGGCAGGGGGGACAGUUUAUGCAAGAGAAAUUGGAGUUGAUGCAAGUGCCAACCAGCUUAAUCAGUGACUGGAUAAAUUGCAGUACUCCAACAUUC